Molecule: ribosomal RNA, 343 nt
Filed under: uncultured bacterium
Lineage: Bacteria
Description: partial 16S ribosomal RNA
Rfam family: Bacterial small subunit ribosomal RNA
Source: RNAcentral
CCUACGGGUGGCAGCAGUAGGGAAUAUUGCUCAAUGGGGGAAACCCUGAAGCAGCAACGCCGCGUGGAGGAUGAAGGUUUUCGGAUGGUAAACUCCUGUUGUUAGAGAAGAGAAGGACGGUAGCUAACGAAUAAGCACCGGCUAACUCCGUGCCAGCAGCCGCGGGAAUACGGAGGGUGCAAGCGUUACUCGGAAUCACUGGGCGUAAAGAGCGCGGAGGCGGGAUAGCACGUCAGAUGGGAAAUCCUAUGGCUUAACCAUAGAACUGCAUUUGAAACUGUUAUUCUAGAGUAUGGGAGAGGUAGGUGGCAUUCUUUGUGUAGUGGUCAAAUCCGUCGAGAUC